GAUCCAUCAACAAUUUUGUGGAUCCUAUAAAUCUAUUAUAAGCCGUUGCAAUUAUAGUUGAAACCCUACUUUUCCAUCACAAUUCUGCCCCCAUUCGUAUUCUCGAGAAGAUCUUAAACACGUUUAUCACUCUGAAUUCUGCAAACUAUAUGUCAAUUGUAAACCCUACAACUCAACUCUUUAGAUCUUAGAUUCAUCUCAACUAGCCUUUUACAAUUAACGAUUGUUCAUUGUUUUAAGUCUUUUUCUAAAGUUUCUUUCACUCCGAAGACGAACAAAUUUUCUCUAUGUGAUGUUCUUAAUGAUUAAAGAUGAUAUACAUUUGAUGCAGUUUUAUAAUUAUCGGGUGAUGUUUUGUGGGAAUAUUGGAAUGUUUACAAACCUGAUUUUAUCCACUGAGCAGGAGUCUUUUGCAUUCUCAAAUUAAAGGUGUUUGUUUCUUUUCUCCUUCAUCUUGCUUAAUAAAGGUGUUUGUUUCCUUUCUCCUUCAUCUUGCUUAAUUUGAUGUCUUAUUUUAUUUAGAAGAGAAUGAAUCGCAAUAUCACUCACAUAAUAUUAGAUCGAUUAAAAAGGUAAUUCUUUGUUCCACAACCCUUAGCUCUGGUACUGCAAAUCUUUGUUAUUUGUUUGUAACUUACGCUUAUCAAAAGGAAAGCAUUUUGUUUGUUUUCGUAUUUUUAACAUAUUACAUCUUUUUAUACGGUUUUUUUACUAAUGCGUGAUUUAAUUUAUAUCAAGGUUUUGUUAUUUGUUUGUAACUUACACUUAUCAAAAGGAAAGCAUUUUGUUUGUUUUCGUAUUUUUAACAUAUUACAUCUUUUUAUACGGUUUUUUUACUAAUGCGUGAUUUAAUUUAUAUCAAGGUGUUCUUGAGUUCUUCUGAGGGUUCAUGUGGAAUCUGUAUUCAUGGGUCAUGGAGGCUACUGAUCAUGGUUAUGAAGGGGUAUCUUUUGGGAAGAAAUUGAAAGACAAACAAAUUGAAGAAUGGAAAGGGUGCUAGAAGACUUGGGCGUAUAUAUGUUCUCGAAGACUUCUUAAGAAUGCUCGAUAACCAGGUAAAAUAUACCAAAACUUAACCUUUAUAUUUAGAAAUACAAUUGAUUGUUUGUAUUAUUUUUGUUGGGUCGAUGCAUGCUUUUGUACAAUUAAAUGGCUUAAAGAAAAUGGGUCGAAUUUGUCCCACAAUGUAUUUUUUAGCGUAUAAAACCUUUUGAAUCACAUCACCAAAGAAUUUAAGUGAUAAAGCAAACAUUGUACUUUUGUAAUUUAUUAAUUUUAUUUAAUUGAUAAACUAUCUGUAGAAGCAUUGGACAAAAACUGAACCAUCUUGAUUUAGACCAAAGUUUCUUUUUUUACUCAUUACCCCUCUACAGCAUAUUCUCAUCAUCAAUGUAUAUAAAUGCAAAUUGUGAAGAUUAAUCUUUUCAUAUUGGAGCAACAAGGGCUCCUUGAACGCAUGUAAGAUCUUGGGAAACAACAAGAUGCUCUUCAAGAGGAACUAAAUUUUACAAAAAUAUUUGUUUCAUGAGAAGCCUAUAGAGAAGCUGGAAGAGACUGUUAAAGCUUUUAUUAAUUGUUUAGAUUAAUGCCAUAGUUUAAGAUAGAUUUGCUUUUGUUAAUUAUUUAGAUUUAGAUUAAUGCCAUAGUUUAACGUAUAGAUGUUUGAAUUAUAGUUGUAAUAUUUCUUUUUUCAUUAUUUAAUUUCAUACAUGUUUCCUUUAUU
RNAcentral lists this long non-coding RNA (1723 nucleotides) under Helianthus annuus (common sunflower). Its description in RNAcentral is "hypothetical non coding rna". Lineage: Eukaryota; Viridiplantae; Streptophyta; Magnoliopsida; Asterales; Asteraceae. The record is from RNAcentral.